Molecule: ribosomal RNA, 519 nt
Filed under: uncultured bacterium
Lineage: Bacteria
Description: bacterial SSU rRNA
Rfam family: Bacterial small subunit ribosomal RNA
Source: RNAcentral
GACGAACGCUGGCGGCGUGCCUAAUACAUGCAAGUCGAGCGGAUCUGAUGGAGUGCUUGCGCUCCUGAUGGUUAGCGGCGGACGGGUGAGUAACACGUGGGUAACCUGCCCAUAAGACUGGGAUAACAUUCGGAAACGAAUGCUAAUACCGGAUACGCGAUUUGGUCGCAUGGCCGAAUCGGGAAAGACGGAGCAAUCUGUCACUUAUGGAUGGACCCGCGGCGCAUUAGCUAGUUGGUGAGGUAACGGCUCACCAAGGCGACGAUGCGUAGCCGACCUGAGAGGGUGAUCGGCCACACUGGGACUGAGACACGGCCCAGACUCCUACGGGAGGCAGCAGUAGGGAAUCUUCCGCAAUGGACGAAAGUCUGACGGAGCAACGCCGCGUGAGUGAUGAAGGUUUUCGGAUCGUAAAGCUCUGUUGCCAGGGAAGAACGCUAUGGAGAGUAACUGCUCCAUAGGUGACGGUACCUGAGAAGAAAGCCCCGGCUAACUACGUGCCAGCAGCCGCCGUAAAAC